RNAcentral lists this ribosomal RNA (466 nucleotides) under uncultured bacterium. Its description in RNAcentral is "bacterial SSU rRNA". It matches the Rfam family "Bacterial small subunit ribosomal RNA", at positions 329 to 792 of the family's 1533-position model. The record is from RNAcentral.
GACCAGACUCCUACGGGAGGCAGCAGUGAGGAAUAUUGGUCAAUGGGCUUACGCCUGAACCAGCCAAGUCGCGUGAGGGAAGACUGCCCUAUGGGUCGUAAACCUCUUUUGUCAGGGAGCAACGCCGGCUACGUGUAGCCGGACUGAGAGUACCUGAAGAAAAAGCAUCGGCUAACUCCGUGCCAGCAGCCGCGGUAAUACGGAGGAUGCGAGCGUUAUCCGGAUUUAUUGGGUUUAAAGGGUGCGCAGGCGGAGGUGCAAGUCAGUGGUCAAAUUGCGGGGCUCAACCCCGUACUGCCGUUGAAACUGCAUCCCUUGAGUGCGCGAGAAGUAUGCGGAAUGCGUGGUGUAGCGGUGAAAUGCUUAGAUAUCACGAAGAACUCCGAUUGCGAAGGCAGCUUACUAAACUGCCACUGACAUUGAUGCUCGAAAGUGUGGGUAUCAAACAGGAUUAGAUACCCCGGUA